RNAcentral lists this transfer RNA (73 nucleotides) under Crossobamon orientalis. Its description in RNAcentral is "tRNA-Glu". Lineage: Eukaryota; Metazoa; Chordata; Lepidosauria; Squamata; Gekkonidae. The record is from RNAcentral.
GUUUUUGUAGUUGAAUCACAACAGUGGUUUUUCGGGCCACGGGUUUCGGUAAACUCAAGUCCGAACAGAAAUG